Molecule: transfer RNA, 74 nt
Filed under: Candidatus Wolfebacteria bacterium CG_4_10_14_0_2_um_filter_39_18
Lineage: Bacteria; Candidatus Wolfeibacteriota
Description: tRNA-Gly
Rfam family: tRNA
About the family: Transfer RNA (tRNA) molecules are approximately 80 nucleotides in length. Their secondary structure includes four short double-helical elements and three loops (D, anti-codon, and T loops). Further hydrogen bonds mediate the characteristic L-shaped molecular structure. tRNAs have two regions of fundamental functional importance: the anti-codon, which is responsible for specific mRNA codon recognition, and the 3' end, to which the tRNAs corresponding amino acid is attached (by aminoacyl-tRNA synthetases). tRNAs cope with the degeneracy of the genetic code in two manners: having more than one tRNA (with a specific anti-codon) for a particular amino acid; and 'wobble' base-pairing, i.e. permitting non-standard base-pairing at the 3rd anti-codon position.
Source: RNAcentral
GCGGGACUAGUAUAGUGGUAGUACACGAUCUUGCCAAGAUCGAAGCGCGAGUUCGAUUCUCGUGUCCCGCUCAA